GAAAUCUAGGAGCUUAACUCCUAAAUUGCCAUUGAUACUGGCGGGCUUGAGUGUAGAUGAGGUAGGCGGAAUGCGUGGUGUAGCGGUGGAAUGCAUAGAUAUCACGCAGAACUCCGAUUGCGAAGGCAGCUUACUAAGGUACAACUGACGCUGAAGCACGAAAGCGUGGGUAUCAAACAGGAUUAGAUACCCUGGUAGUCCACGCAGUAAACGAUGAUAAAUAGGGCGUAUGUGAUAUACAGUAUGGCUCCUAAGCGAAAGCGUUGAGUUAUCCACCUGGGGAGUACGCCGGCAACGGUGAAACUCAAAGGAAUUGACGGGGGCCCGCACAAGCGGAGGAACAUGUGGUUUAAUUCGAUGAUACGCGAGGAACCUUACCCGGGAUUGAAAUGUAGAUGACCGCUCCUGAAAGGGAGUUUUCCUUCGGGACAUCUAUGUAGGUGCUGCAUGGUUGUCGUCAGCUCGUGCCGUGAGGUGUCGGCUUAAGUGCCAUAACGAGCGCAACCCCUGUCUACGGUUGCCAUCAGGUAAUGCUGGGAACUCCGUAGAGACUGCCGUCGUAAGGCGUGAGGAAGGUGGGGAUGACGUCAAAUCAGCACGGCCCUUACAUCCGGGGCGACACACGUGUUACAAUGGUAAGGACAAAGGGCAGCUACCUGGCGACAGGAUGCGAAUCUCUAAACCUUAUCACAGUUCGGAUCGGAGUCUGCAACUCGACUCCGUGAAGCUGGAUUCGCUAGUAAUCGCGCAUCAGCCAUGGCGCGGUGAAUACGUUCCCGGGCCUUGCACUCACCGCCCGUCAAG
RNAcentral lists this ribosomal RNA (804 nucleotides) under uncultured bacterium. RNAcentral describes it as "bacterial SSU rRNA". It matches the Rfam family "Bacterial small subunit ribosomal RNA", at positions 596 to 1401 of the family's 1533-position model. The record is from RNAcentral.